RNAcentral lists this ribosomal RNA (253 nucleotides) under uncultured bacterium. RNAcentral describes it as "partial 16S ribosomal RNA". It matches the Rfam family "Bacterial small subunit ribosomal RNA", at positions 524 to 776 of the family's 1533-position model. The record is from RNAcentral.
UACGGAGGGUGCAAGCGUUAUCCGGAUUCACUGGGUUUAAAGGGUGCGUAGGUGGGCUGGUAAGUCCGUGGUGAAAUCUCCGAGCUUAACUCGGAAACUGCCGUGGAUACUAUUAGUCUUGAAUACUGUGGAGGUAAGCGGAAUAUGUCAUGUAGCGGUGAAAUGCUUAGAUAUGACAUAGAACACCGAUAGCGAAGGCAGCUUGCUACACAGUCAUUGACACUGAGGCACGAAAGCGUGGGGAGCAAACAGG